RNAcentral lists this ribosomal RNA (253 nucleotides) under uncultured bacterium. RNAcentral's name for it is "partial 16S ribosomal RNA". It matches the Rfam family "Bacterial small subunit ribosomal RNA", at positions 524 to 776 of the family's 1533-position model. The record is from RNAcentral.
UACAGGGGGUGCAAACGUUGCUCGGAAUUAUUGGGCGUAAAGCGCACGUAGGCGGUCUGUUAUGUCGGAUGUGAAAGCCCUUGGCUCAACUGAGGAAGUGCAUCCGAAACUGGCAGGCUAGAGUACGUAAGAGGGUCGCGGAAUUCCCGGUGUAGAGGUGAAAUUCGUAGAUAUUGGGAAGAACACCAGUGGCGAAGGCGGCUAACUGGUCCAGAUCUGACGCUGAGGUGCGAAAGCGUGGGGAGCAAACAGG